CAAUAGCGUAUAUUAAAGUUGUUGCAGUUAAAAAGCUCGUAGUUGGAUUUCGGGGCAGCCUGGCUGGUCCGCCGCAAGGCGAGUACUGGUCAGCCGCCCUUCCUCUCGAAAGCCCCGACUGCUCUUCGUUGCAGUGGUCGGGUAGUUCGGGACGUUUACUUUGAAAAAAUUAGAGUGUUCAAGGCAGGCCUACGCCUGAAUACAUUAGCAUGGAAUAAUGGAAGAGGACCUCGGUCCUAUUUUGUUGGUUUCCAGGGCCGAAGUAAUGAUUAAGAGGGACAGUUGGGGGCAUUCGUAUUUAAUUGUCAGAGGUGAAAUUCUCGGAUUUAUGAAGGACGAACAACUGCGAAAGCAUUUGCCAAGGAUGUUUUCAUUAA
This 377-nucleotide ribosomal RNA is filed under the name uncultured eukaryote. RNAcentral's name for it is "partial 18S ribosomal RNA". It matches the Rfam family "Eukaryotic small subunit ribosomal RNA", at positions 592 to 976 of the family's 1831-position model. The record is from RNAcentral.